Molecule: long non-coding RNA, 1140 nt
Filed under: Salmo salar (Atlantic salmon)
Lineage: Eukaryota; Metazoa; Chordata; Actinopteri; Salmoniformes; Salmonidae
Description: lncRNA (ENSSSAG00000086931.1)
Source: RNAcentral
CCAGGAUUUUAGUCAAAAGUGCAUUCUAUAUAACAAAUAUGAAAGGAGGAGAAUCAUACAGUAAAUCGGAAGAGAAAAUGUUAUGCAACAAAGAGGAACCUCUGGAUAUGAGGCAGACAAACACCUCAAUGUAUUUCCUUAUGCCAUGGUCCCUUCCACGCUAUCCACCUCCAGAUUGAUUCUCCUCCUUUUCCUUACUCAAACAGCCACUCACCAAACCAACCACCUCCCUCCUCCAUGACCCAACACAUCACUUCACUCACACAAUGCAUCGUCAGUCCCUCCCUUCACAUCGACUCGCUCACGCAGAAGUAAAGUGCAGAGGAUACACACAAAUGGAAAAGCUUUUUAAAACGAACGUAAAAAAAAGCUGAAAUAAAAAGCCUCAUAUUGAAACGCCAUGAAAAACACUAAGUAACUCAUGGUUAAGCUGAUACAGAGGCCCAACUAACAGACCCACAGUAAUGGCAGAAUGGUUGUAGCUCUCUGGACGGGGGGCAUCUGUUAAACCAAAUCCAAUGGGCCAAAUACCCGCAACUCAAGGUGGUACAGGGACUUGCUAAUAGACUGCUACUGUUCCUCUUCAGUUUCUCCCAAUAUACAAACAGUAACCUGAUCCACCACUCAGCCUGAACCACUACGCUAUACCCAUUGUGUCAAUCCACAGAAACAUGUCAGACAUAUUCUUGUGUGUGUGUACAAAAAUCACCCUCAGAACCCCCUUCAACAGAUGGCACGGCAUUAGCAGGGAAGUGCACAGAGGGAGAGACCCAGAGAGUUGAACGACAGAAAGAACAUGGCCAGGGCCAGACUAUGUAAAAGCAGCUUUUGUUACAACGGCACCAGAGGGUUUCCAUUUUGCCAUUACUGAGACAAACACACACCUUAAUGUUGCUCCUCAACACUGAGUCUUAUCUGAUAACAGUCCCAGACAGGAUGUUGUCCGCCCUCCUUCAACCUACAACCCACUACCAACAAUCUGACAAGACAGAAUCUCUCUCGGUCAUUCAUCAAUACUAACAACAACCGGACUGUCAGAAUAUCAUACAAUGGGACAGCGGAACAUUCACACAAUAAAAAGGUUACAUAUCCAAAUGUGAUUUCUUUGAGUAAAUGUACAACUUGAGUAAAUGUAUCUAC